RNAcentral lists this long non-coding RNA (3027 nucleotides) under Danio rerio (zebrafish). Its description in RNAcentral is "lncRNA (ENSDARG00000117324.1)". The record is from RNAcentral. Lineage: Eukaryota; Metazoa; Chordata; Actinopteri; Cypriniformes; Danionidae.
UGCUUUCAGUCUCUUUCUGCCAACUUUUGUAUCAUCGCCGGGCAGAUUAUAGUAAAGUUUGUGCCCCUUUUCAGCCUAAGCGGGAUCAGCCUGGAGUGGCCUGUCGCCGUGGAAACUGCCAGAACAAUUCGGUUGAAGUCUGAAGAGGUCAGCUUGCAGGGUCAACAACCCCAGCUCUGCCUGUGCCAACUUCUGUUCAGCCUGGGACUUUUUGGGGGAGCGCUGGCUCAACCUAACCCUGGGUGUAUUUUUUUCUACUCAAGCAUGGCGGUGAUAAUUGGAUUGUGUGGACACCUGUAUGAGUGCAGUAUAUCCAGGGGAUUAGAGAACGGGAUGGAAUUGGCGAGCACAUCGUCCCGCAGCAGUGGCUCUUUAAAAUGGGUUCCAGUGCCAUUUGAACGGCGGCUAAGAAGCGAUUUAUGCAUCUUUCAUUGGACUGAUGACUGGGCAUAUUCUUACUGAGGACAACAUGAACAGUGCAGACUUCAUCAGCGGCCACACAAGAUGACUGUCUGCUGCUGACUGACCAAUUGUUCAUGCUAUGAAAACUGUAAAGAUGGAGGCAAAUCACUCAUUAGGUGUUUGGGAACAGUAACGCUUUUGCCUCUGACAGUAAUGAACGUCUCCUUUAGGUUCUGAUACUCGACACGAAAGGUUUUGAUUGUUUUGUCAAAUGAAAAUAAACAUUUUCGAUAAAUACUAUUACGCUAUUGCUCCCUCCGUAUUAUCAUUGAUUGUGUUUACGUUCACGUUCUUCAUCAGAUUGUAAUGCAUAAGCUGAUAAUACGCAUGGUCGGAGUGCAUCGGGAAUGUUUUGAGAACAUUCAUUAAGCUUUAUUCAUUCAUUAAGCAGUCAUUUGCUUAACCGUUGUGUAAAUGUUAUCAUGCAAUGUUAUGAAAAUAACACUUAUGAAGCAUUCUUGUUUGUAAAUGGUGUCAUGCAUCGUUAUUAAAAACAUUUCUGGAACGUUUUUGCAAUGAUUUUAGAACAUUUAGUAACACUCCUUAAACGUUGUGUGAAUGUUAUCAUGCAAUGUUGUUAAAAUAACCUUUCUGAAACAUUUUUGUAACGUUUUGAAAACAUUAGGUAACUCCUUAAAUGCUGUGUGAAUGUUAUCAUGCAAUGUUAAUAAAAACAUUUCUGGAACAUUCUUAUUUUGUUUUCAGAACAUUCAGUAACGCUCCUUAAAUGUUGUAUGAAUGUUAUCAUGCAACGUUAUUAAAAUAUUUUAUGAACAUACGUAUAAUGUUUUGAGAACAUUCAGUAACGCUCCUUAAAUGUUGUGUAAAUGUUAUCACAGAAUGACACUGCUCUCUUAAUGUUCUGUAAAUGCUAUCAUGCAAUGUUAUUAAAAACAAAAUUCUGGAAUGAUCUUGUAAUGAUUUCAGAACAUUCAGUAACGCUUCUUAAAUGUUGUGUAAAUGUCGUCAUGUUAUUAAAAUACGUUUUUUAAAACAGUCUUGUAAUGUUUUAAGAACAUUUAGUAACUCAUUAAAUAAUGCGUACAUUUUAUCACGCAGCGUUAUUAAAAAUAACAUUUCUGGAACAUUUUUGUAAUGUUUUGAAAACAUUCUGUAUCUCUUGAUAAAUACUGUGCAAAUGUUAUCACGCAAUGUUAUUAAUAUAAUAUUUCUAGAACAUUCUUGUAACAUUUUGAGAACAUUCAGCAAUUCUUAAUAAAUAAUGUGUAAAUUUUAUCAUGUAACGUUAUUAAAAUAACAUUUCUGGAACAUUCUUGUACCAUUGAGAACGUUUGAAAACAUUUCUUAAAUGUUGUGUAAAUGUUAUCAUGCAACGUUAUUAAAAUAACCUUUCUGGAACAUUCUUGUAACAUUAUGAGAACGUUUGAAAACACUUCUUAAAUGUUGUGUAAAUGUUAUCAUGCAACUUUGUUAAAGCAUUUCUGGAACAUUUUUUAAAUGUUUUGAGAACAUUCAGUAACGCUCCUCAAAUAUGUGAAUGUUUUCAUGCAACGCUAUUAAUAUAUUAUUUUUGUAACAUUCUUGUAAUGUUCGACAAUGCUCCUUAAACAUUGUGUAAAUGUUAUCAUGCAACGUUAUUAAAAUAACAUUUCUGGAAAAUUCUUCUAAUGUUUCCUGAACGUUCAGUAAUGCUGUGUAAAUGUUACCUUGCAAUGGUAGCGCUCCCUAAACGUUGUGUAAAUGUUACCAUGCAAUGGUAAUGCUUCUCAUUCAUUCAUUCAUUCAUUUUCUUUUCGGCUCAGUCACCACAGCGGAAUGAACCACCAACUUAUCGAGCAUAUAUUUUACGCUGGGAAUGCCCUUCCAGCUGCAAUCCAUCACUGGGAAACACCUAAGCGCAAUCAUUUACACUCAUACACUACAGACUGUGGAUGAAACUGGAUCACCUGGAGGAAACCCACGUCAAGACAGGGAGAACAUGCAAACACCACACAGAAAUGCCAACUGACCCUGCUGGGACUCGAACUAGCAACCUUCUUGCAGUGAGACGAUUGUGCUACCCAUUGUGCCACCGUGCUGCCUCGGUAACGCUUCUUAAACGUUGUGCAAAUGUUAUCAUGCGAUGUAUUUAAAAUAACAUUUCUGGAACAUUCUUGGGAAUUUUUGACAACAAUCGAAAACGCUUAUUAAAUGUUGUGUAAAUGUUAUCACGCAACGUUAUUAAAAUACAAUUUCCCAAACAUUCUCGUAACAUUUUGAGAACGUUUGAAAACCCUUCUUAAAUGUUGUGUAAUUGUGCCCCACUAUGUUAUUAAAAUAAUGUUCCUGGAACAUUCUUGUAAUGUUUUGAGAACAUUUGGUAAUGCUUCUUAAAUGUUGUGUAAAUGUUAUCAUGCAACAUUAAUAAAACAUUUCUGGAACAUUGUUGUAAUGUUUUGAGAACAUUCAGUGAUGCUCCUUAAAUGUUAUGUAAAUGUUAUCAUGGAACGUUAUUAAAAUAACAUUUCUGAAACAUUAGUGCAAUGUUUUAAGAACAUUCGGUAACGCCCCUUAAAUGUUAUGUAAAUGUUUUCAUGCAACAUUUCUAACGUAAUACAAAAAAAA